Molecule: unclassified non-coding RNA, 329 nt
Filed under: soil metagenome
Description: partial contains 5.8S ribosomal RNA, internal transcribed spacer 2, and large subunit ribosomal RNA
Rfam family: 5.8S ribosomal RNA (bases 1-120)
Source: RNAcentral
GAUGAAGAACGCAGCGAAAUGCGAUACGUAAUGUGAAUUGCAGAUUUCAGUGAAUCAUCGAAUCUUUGAACGCACAUUGCGCCCGCCAGUAUUCUGGCGGGCAUGCCUGUUCGAGCGUCAUUUCAACCAUCAAGCCUUCGCUUGUGUUGGGGCCCCGCGGCUGCCGCGGUCCCCUAAAUCCAGUGGCGGGCUCGUCGUCGUACCGAGCGCAGUAGACAUCCUAGCUCCGGGAACCCGACGGGUGCCGGCCGUGAAACCCCCCACAUCAAGGUUGACCUCGGAUCAGGUAGGAAUACCCGCUGAACUUAAGCAUAUCAAUAAGCGGAGGA